This 447-nucleotide ribosomal RNA is filed under the name uncultured bacterium. RNAcentral describes it as "partial 16S ribosomal RNA". It matches the Rfam family "Bacterial small subunit ribosomal RNA", at positions 29 to 523 of the family's 1533-position model. The record is from RNAcentral.
AGCGAACGCUGGCGGCAGGCUUAACACAUGCAAGUCGAACGGUCCUUCGGGAUAGUGGCGGACGGGUGAGUAACACGUGGGAACGUACCCUUAGGUUCGGAACAACACAGGGACACUUGUGCUAAUACCGGAUAAGCCCUUCGGGGGAAAGAUUUAUCGCCUUUGGAGCGGCCCGCGUCUGAUUAGCUUGUUGGUGAGGUAAUGGCUCACCAAGGCUACGAGCAGUAGCUGGUCUGAGAGGAUGGCCAGCCACACUGGGACUGAGACACGGCCGAGACUGCUACGGGAGGCAGCAGGGUGGAAUCUUGCGCAAUGGGCGAAAGCCUUGCGCAUCCAUGCCGCGUGGAUGAUGAAGGUCUUAGGAUUGUAAAAUCCUUUCACCGGGGACGAUAAUGACGGUACCCGGAGAAGAAGCCCCGGCUAACUUCGUGCCAGCCGCCGCCGUAA